UACGUAGGGGGCUAGCGUUGUCCGGAAUCAUUGGGCGUAAAGAGCGUGUAGGCGGCCCGGUAAGUCCGCUGUGAAAGUCGGGGGCUCAACCCUCGAAUGCCGGUGGAUACUGUCGGGCUAGAGUGCGGAAGAGGCGAGUGGAUUUCCUGGUGUAGCGGUGAAAUGCGCAGAUAUCAGGAGGAACACCGAUUGCGAAGGCAGCUCGCUGGGACGUAACUGACGCUGAGACGCGAAAGCGUGGGGAGCAAACAGG
RNAcentral lists this ribosomal RNA (253 nucleotides) under uncultured bacterium. RNAcentral describes it as "partial 16S ribosomal RNA". It matches the Rfam family "Bacterial small subunit ribosomal RNA", at positions 524 to 776 of the family's 1533-position model. The record is from RNAcentral.